AGAGUUUGAUCCUGGCUCAGGAUGAACGCUAGCGGCAGGCCUAACACAUGCAAGUCGAGGGGUAACAGGGAAGCCUAGCUUCCGCUGACGACCGGCGCACGGGUGAGUAACGCGUAUGCAACCUACCUUUAACAGGGGGAUAGCCAAUGGAAACGUUGAUUAAUACCCCAUAAUACACUAAUGCGGCAUCGUAUAAGUGUUAAAGCUUCGGCGGUUAAAGAUGGGCAUGCGUGCCAUUAGUUAGUUGGUGAGGUAACGGCUCACCAAGGCUUUGAUGGCUACGGGGUCUUAAAGGAUGGCCCCGCACACUGGUACUGAGACACGGACCAGACUCCUACGGGAGGCAGCAGUGAGGAAUAUCGGUCAAUGGGCGAAAGCCUGAACCAGCCAUGCCGCGUGCAGGAAGACGGCCUUAUGGGUUGUAAACUGCUUUUGUACGGGAAGAAACGCAUCCACGUGUGGGUGUUUGCCGGUACCGUACGAAUAAGCAUCGGCUAACUCCGUGCCAGCAGCCGCGGUAAUACGGAGGAUGCAAGCGUUAUCCGGAUUUAUUAGGUUUAAAGGGUGCGUAGGCGGCCCGGUAAGUCAGUGGUGAAAUCCCGUAGCUCAACUACGGAACUGCCAUUGAUACUGUCGGGCUUGAGUACAGUUGAGGUAGGCGGAAUGUGUAAUGUAGCGGUGAAAUGCUUAGAUAUUACACAGAACACCGAUUGCGUAGGCAGCUUGCUAGACUGGAACUGACGCUGAGGCACGAAAGCGUGGGUAUCGAACAGGAUUAGAUACCCUGGUAGUCCACGCCGUAAACGAUGAUCACUCGUUGUGUGCGAUAUAUUGUACGUGACUGAGCGAAAGCAUUAAGUGAUCCACCUGGGGAGUACGUUCGCAAGAAUGAAACUCAAAGGAAUUGACGGGGGCCCGCACAAGCGGAGGAACAUGUGGUUUAAUUCGAUGAUACGCGAGGAACCUUACCUGGGCUUAAAUGCAGAAUGACAGGAGUGGAAACACUUUUUUCUUCGGACAGUUUGCAAGGUGCUGCAUGGCUGUCGUCAGCUCGUGCCGUGAGGUGUCGGGUUAAGUCCCAUAACGAGCGCAACCCCUAUCAUUAGUUGCCAGCGGAUCAUGCCGGGGACUCUAAUGAGACUGCCACCGUAAGGUGAGAGGAAGGUGGGGAUGACGUCAAGUCAGCACGGCCCUUACGUCCAGGGCUACACACGUGUUACAAUGGCCGGUACAAAGGGCAGCCACCUGGUGACAGGGAGCUAAUCCGUAAAAGCCGGUCUUAGUUCGGAUUGAAGUCUGCAACUCGACUUCAUGAAGUUGGAUUCGCUAGUAAUCGUGCAUCAGCCACGGCACGGUGAAUACGUUCCCGGGCCUUGUACACACCGCCCGUCAAGCCAUGGAAGCCGGGGGUACCUAAAGUCCGUAACCGCAAGGGGCGGCCUAGGGUAAAACUGGUAACUGGGGCUAAGUCGAAACAAGGUA
Molecule: ribosomal RNA, 1482 nt
Filed under: metagenome
Description: bacterial SSU rRNA
Rfam family: Bacterial small subunit ribosomal RNA
Source: RNAcentral